RNAcentral lists this long non-coding RNA (206 nucleotides) under Brassica rapa (field mustard). RNAcentral describes it as "long non-coding RNA (BRAP_LNC007086)". Lineage: Eukaryota; Viridiplantae; Streptophyta; Magnoliopsida; Brassicales; Brassicaceae. The record is from RNAcentral.
UUGACGACACCUUUCCAGUCGGUGUUGGGAGGCGAUGAUUUGCUCUCUCAUCUCGUAUUUCCUCUACGUUUUCGUCCGAACACGUGGUGCCGACCUGGAUCAUUAGCUGGUUCUUCUCUACGAUUUCCUCCGGCUGAGCCUUCCUGUUGGACUACCCUUGUAAUUUGCUUUGUUUUUAAUGUUUGGUUGGGCUUGUUAGGCUCGUC